Molecule: non-coding RNA, 72 nt
Organism: Phrynosoma platyrhinos (Desert horned lizard)
Lineage: Eukaryota; Metazoa; Chordata; Lepidosauria; Squamata; Phrynosomatidae
Source: the annotation of a GenBank genome assembly
GGCAGCAUGGCGCAGUGGUUGGAGUGCUGGACUAGGACUCUGGAGAGCAGGGUUCGAAUCUUGGCUCAGCCA